GCAGAGCAUCCUACGGGAGGCAGCAGUGGGGAAUAUUGCACAAUGGGCGCAAGCCUGAUGCAGCCAUGCCGCGUGUAUGAAGAAGGCCUUCGGGUUGUAAAGUACUUUCAGCAGUGAGGAAGGUGGAUAUGUUAAUAGCAUAUUCAUUUGACGUUAGCUGCAGAAGAAGCACCGGCUAACUCCGUGCCAGCAGCCGCGGUAAUACGGAGGGUGCGAGCGUUAAUCGGAAUUACUGGGCGUAAAGCGCAUGCAGGUGGUUUGUUAAGUCAGAUGUGAAAGCCCGGGGCUCAACCUCGGAAUUGCAUUUGAAACUGGCAAACUAGAGUACUGUAGGAGGGGGUAGAAUUUCAGGUGUAGCGGUAGAAAUGCGUAGAGAUCUGAAGGAAUACCGGUGGCGAAGGCCGGCCCCCUGGACAGAUACUGACACUCAGAUGACGAAAGCGGUGGGGAGCAAACAGGAUUAGAUACCCUGGUAG
This 476-nucleotide ribosomal RNA is filed under the name uncultured bacterium. RNAcentral describes it as "bacterial SSU rRNA". It matches the Rfam family "Bacterial small subunit ribosomal RNA", at positions 329 to 793 of the family's 1533-position model. The record is from RNAcentral.